GACGAAUGCUGGCGGCGUGCUUAACGCAUGCAAGUCGAACGGAAAGGCCCUGCUUUUGUGGGGUGCUCGAGUGGCGAACGGGUGAGUAACACGUGAGUAACCUGCCCUUGACUUUGGGAUAACUUCAGGAAACUGGGGCUAAUACCGGAUAGGAGCUCCUGCUGCAUGGUGGGGGUUGGAAAGUUUCGGCGGUUGGGGAUGGACUCGCGGCUUAUCAGCUUGUUGGUGGGGUAGUGGCUUACCAAGGCUUUGACGGGUAGCCGGCCUGAGAGGGUGACCGGCCACAUUGGGACUGAGAUACGGCCCAGACUCCUACGGGAGGCAGCAGUGGGGAAUAUUGCACAAUGGGCGGAAGCCUGAUGCAGCAACGCCGCGUGCGGGAUGACGGCCUUCGGGUUGUAAACCGCUUUCGCCUGUGACGAAGCGUGAGUGACGGUAAUGGGUAAAGAAGCACCGGCUAACUACGUG
Molecule: ribosomal RNA, 468 nt
Filed under: uncultured bacterium
Lineage: Bacteria
Description: partial 16S ribosomal RNA
Rfam family: Bacterial small subunit ribosomal RNA
Source: RNAcentral